Molecule: non-coding RNA, 506 nt
Organism: Gallus gallus (chicken)
Lineage: Eukaryota; Metazoa; Chordata; Aves; Galliformes; Phasianidae
Source: the annotation of a RefSeq genome assembly
UCCCAUUGGAUGAGCCAUGAGUCAUUUCCCCCCCCCCGAUGCUCACGCUUUCUCCACCGGGAUGGCUUUAUAACACUUCAGCUGCUCCUUCAGUUCGACAUUUCACACAUGCAGACAACAUGCUGCUGCUUACCUUUCUUGUUGCAACUUCAUUUUGGUCCCGUGGAAAUGCACAGGCUGCACCAGUGCAAAGCCCAGCAGAGCGCAGGCUGGUGGAGGGCAGCUCAGUCACCAUGACAUGCCAGCUGAGUAGUGGCACCGUUGUGCACUGGUACAGGCAGCUUCCUGGGGAGCCACCCAAGAGGAUACUGUACAUGUCUGGAUACUCACCUACCUUUGAUGACAGCAACGAUAGGCAGAAGUUUCAAGUGCAGAGAAAUCCUUCCAACUCUGUUCUGACAAUAAAGAAAUCUACUAGGAGGGAUACCGGUACUUACUAUUGUGCAUACUGGUAUUAUCAAGGCUUCACAGAGUUAGAUGGGCAAAGAUAAGCCAUACAAAAAGGC